This 851-nucleotide small RNA is filed under the name Histoplasma capsulatum. RNAcentral describes it as "hypothetical RNA". RNAcentral also lists the same sequence under 1 other name. Lineage: Eukaryota; Fungi; Ascomycota; Eurotiomycetes; Onygenales; Ajellomycetaceae. The record is from RNAcentral.
CUGAAAGCAUUGCAGGAGAACGUGAUACGCGGGGCUGCUGAUAAUUUGAGAGCAUUCAACCUACGAAUUCGCGGGUUGAUGAAUACCCUGAAUAAAAGGAUACACCCCCGAUUAAAGGGGUGCAACAUUGAACCAGCCCUAAUACCUCGCCUCGAGGCCCAGUUUUCCGCUCAUACUUAAGUAAUGGAUAGUUAUCUCAACCAGUUUGAUGGUAGAUGUUAUUGUAUACUGGUCUUGAUACCAGUUAACAGGCGUGUUGAGUUUUUGGCAUCAAGCCCCUCAACCCACCCGCGAAUUUGUUGGGAUGUUAUACGGCGAUUCAUACCGGAUAACAACAAGCGACCAAAACGGUUGUAGCUGAGAAAUCAAUGAAAUCAGCAUAGUUGGUGCAUUGAUGUAACUUACAAUUUAGAAGUGGCAAAAAAAGAAGGUUGAGACUCUACAUGGCAAAACGUCAAAACUCUCGAAUAUCAAACCGCUCAGUUGGGAUUCUCUGACGUCAAACGGUCUGCUUCUCCACUUCUUUCAGCAUCGUUAAUCCUUUCUACAAUCAUUCCUUGAAUUUCUUUCUCUCGAUCUUAUCGAAAGCUCUUUUUACUAUACUAAAGUCACGUCUAAUCCGAGGCCGGAAACCUUUCCACAAAUAUUCUGAGAGAAUCAUAACUGAAAAUGGGCGAACCAACGCGCUCCUUACAGAGUAACACGUUGCUUCCUGACGAGCCCACCGCGCAGACGUUGUUCAAUACCAUUCGCAGGAGCAUUCUGGACACAAACCACUCCAUCGACUUAGCCUUUCAAAACAUCGCCCCAACAUCAGGGUCCCCGAUGGUAGCUUCCCUCGCUGAAGACCC